UAGAAACUAGUUAAUUAAAUAAUAUAAGGUUGUCAACUUUAAGUUGCUAAGUUUUAGCGUUUCUAA
Molecule: transfer RNA, 66 nt
Filed under: Epitonium scalare
Lineage: Eukaryota; Metazoa; Mollusca; Gastropoda; Epitoniidae
Description: tRNA-Asp
Source: RNAcentral